GCUCACCUCCAGCAGGAAGGAUGGCGCCCGGAGCUGGUACCCAGACUGCAAGUGAAAACAUGCCACGUGCAUGCAGAGACGAGUUCUGCCUGGGCUUGGAGAAUGGGGAAGCUGUGGGCUUUUAAAGGUCCAAUGAGAGUCCAGGCUUCAGGAAAGAGAAGAGUCAGUCUUCUGGGAGCACUGGAGGAAAGAUACGAAGAAGAUGGCCCUUGAGAAUACAGUCUCCUGUGGAUUCCAGGAGGACCUGGCCCAGAACCGAGGUAGAGAAAAGGUGAAUGUCACCUGAACCCAUUUUACCAGCUGUGCUGCAGGCAGAGUGACCUAGGAGAUGCUGAACCCUAAGGGAGGCCACAUUGGGAGAUCAAGAUGAUCUUAGUGGCACAUGAGAUUUGGUGACUGAGGAAGCUUCCCCCUUCUGUUGGCCUCUCUGCUGAGCCGGUCAGCCUGCAGCCUCCCCUGGGAUAUAGGGGCAGAGCUCACAGCAAACUUGGGUCCCGGAACAGGCUGCAACUGCUCUCAAUGGGUGCCUGUUGUUUGGAUAAUGAACCAGUACAGGGAACGGCUCCCUCCUCGUAGUUUGGGCAUAUGUCUUGCAUCCGCCCCAAAGUGAUGAAGAAAUCCCACAAGAUCAGGCUGCUUCAAAAGAACAGGAGCCUCUCCACCUCGAGCUCGUGGGUUCACCGUGGACUCAGGCACUUAACAACGUGGACAG
Long non-coding RNA from Otolemur garnettii (small-eared galago), 712 nucleotides. RefSeq lists it as uncharacterized. The record is from RefSeq and is a predicted model, not a curated record. The transcript is spliced from 5 exons. NCBI's taxonomy places the organism in Eukaryota, Metazoa, Chordata, Mammalia, Primates, Galagidae.